RNAcentral lists this ribosomal RNA (1450 nucleotides) under Mycoplasmopsis hyopharyngis. RNAcentral describes it as "Mycoplasma hyopharyngis 16S ribosomal RNA". It matches the Rfam family "Bacterial small subunit ribosomal RNA". The record is from RNAcentral. Lineage: Bacteria; Bacillati; Mycoplasmatota; Mycoplasmoidales; Metamycoplasmataceae.
GAGUUUGAUCCUGGCUCAGGAUGAACGCUGGCUGUGUGCCUAAUACAUGCAUGUCGAGCGGAGUUAGCAAUAACUUAGCGGCAAAUGGGUGAGUAACACGUACUUAACGUACCUUUUAGUUUGACAUAACGGUCGGAAACAACGCUAAUUUAAAUACUUGUGAUUUUCGCAUGAAGAUUACAUUAAAAGGAGCUUUACGGCUUCGCUAAAAGAUCGGGGUGCGCAACAUUAGCUAGUUGGUAGGGUAAUGGCCUACCAAGGCGAUGAUGUUUAGCGGGGUUGAGAGACUGAACCGCCACACUGGGACUGAGAUACGGCCCAGACCUCCUACGGGAGGCAGCAGUAGGGAAUUUUCCACAAUGGACGAAAGUCUGAUGGAGCGACACAGCGUGCCUGAUGAAGGCCUUCGGGUUGUAAAGGGCUGUGGUAAGGGAAGAAAAAGUAGCAUAGGAAAUGAUGUUGCCUUGACGGUACCUUAUUAGAAAGCAACGGCUAACUAUGUGCCAGCAGCCGCGGUAAUACAUAGGUUGCAAGCGUUAUCCGAAAUUAUUGGGCGUAAAGCGUCUGUAGGUUGUUUAUUAAGUCUGACGUUAAAUUUUGGGGCUCAACCCCAACCCGCGUUAGAUACUGGUAGACUAGAGUUAUGUAGAGGUUAGCGGAAUUCCUUGUGAAGCGGUGAAAUGCGUAGAUAUAAGGAAGAACACCAAAAUCGCGAAGGCAGCUAAUCGGACAUAUACUGACACUGAGAGACGAAAGCAUGGGGAGCAAACAGGAUUAGAUACCCUGGUAGUCCAUGCCGUAAACGAUGAUCAUUAGCUAAUGGGGAGCUCAUUGGCGCACGUAACGCAUUAAAUGAUCCGCCUGAGUAGUAUGCUCGCAAGAGUAAAACUUAAAGGAAUUGACGGGGACCCGCACAAGCGGUGGAGCAUGUGGUUUAAUUUGAAGCUACGCGUAGAACCUUACCCACUCUUGACAUCUUCUGCAAAGCUAUAGAGAUAUAGUGGAGGUUAAUAGAAUGACAGAUGGUGCAUGGUUGUCGUCAGCUCGUGUCGUGAGAUGUUUGGUUAAGUCCUGCAAUGAGCGCAACCCUUAUCCUUAGUUACUACAUUUAGUUGAGGACUCUAAGGAGACUGCCCAAGUAAUUGGGAGGAAGGUGGGGACGACGUCAAAUCAUCAUGCCUCUUACGAGUGGGGCAACACACGUGCUACAAUGGGCGAUACAAAGAGAUGCAAUAUGGUGACAUGGAGCAAACCUCAAAAAGUCGCUCUCAGUUCGGAUUGAAGUCUGCAACUCGACUUCAUGAAGUCGGAAUCGCUAGUAAUCGUAGAUCAGCUACGCUACGGUGAAUACGUUCUCGGGUCUUGUACACACCGCCCGUCACACCAUGGGAGCUGGUAAUGCCCGAAGUCGGUUUUUUCAAACUGCCUAAGGCAGGACUGGUGACUGGGG